GAGUUUGAUCCUGGCUCAGGGCGAACGCUGGCGGCGUGCUUAACACAUGCAAGUGGAGCGACGAACCAGGCUUCGGCCUGGGGCAAAGCCGCGAACGGGUGAGUAACACGUGGGUAACCUGCCCCGAAGAUCGGGACAACCCGGGGAAACCCGGGCUAAUACCGAAUGUGCUCCCUCACAUCAGUGAGACGAGUAAAGGAAGCUUCGGCCUCCGCCUCGGGAUGGGCCCGCGGUCCAUUAGCUUGUUGGUGAGGUAAAGGCUCACCAAGGCUGCGAUGGGUAGCUGGCCUGAGAGGACGAUCAGCCACACUGGGACUGAGACACGGCCCAGACUCCUACGGGAGGCAGCAGUGGGGAAUCUUGCGCAAUGCGCGAAAGCGUGACGCAGCAACGCCGCGUGGGGGAAGAAGGCCUUCGGGUUGUAAACCCCUUUCAGGAGGGACGAAGGUCGGGCCGUUAAUAGCGGUUCCGGCUGACGGUACCUCCACAAGAAGCCCCGGCUAACUACGUGCCAGCAGCCGCGGUAAUACGUAGGGGGCAAGCGUUGUCCGGAAUCAUUGGGCGUAAAGAGCGUGUAGGCGGUCCGGUAAGUCCGCUGUGAAAGUCAAGGGCUCAACCCUUGAAUGCCGGCGGAUACUGUCGGGCUAGAGUCCGGAAGAGGUGAGUGGAAUUCCUGGUGUAGCGGUGAAAUGCGCAGAUAUCAGGAGGAACACUAUGGCGAAGGCAGCUCACGGGACGGUACUGACGCUGAGACGCGAAAGCGUGGGGAGCAACAGGCUUAGAUACCCCAGUAGUCCACGCCGUACACGAUGGGCACUAGGUGUGUGAGGUGUCGUCUCCUUCCGUGCAGAAGCUACCGCAUUAAGUGCCCCGCCUGGGGAGUACGGUCUCAAGGCUCAAACUCAAAGGAAUUGACGGGGGCUCGCACAAGCAGCGGAGCAUGUGGUUUAAUUUGACGCAACGCGAAGAACCUUACCUGGGCUUGACACGUCGGUGACAGGUGUGGAAACACCUCCUACCUAUGGGCGCCGUCACAGGUGGGGCAUGUCAGUCGUCAGCUCUAGUCGUGAGAUGUUGGUUUAAGUUCCGCAACGAGCGCAACAACCCGAAGCAUGUUUUCAGCCUUAAGUUGGGGACUCAUGCGAGACUGCCGCUGACAACACGGAGGAAGGUGGGGAUGACGUCAAGUCAUCAUGCCCCUUAUUCACAGGCAUACACACGUGUUACAUUGUCGCAUACAAAGGGCUGCGAUACCGCGAGGUGGAGCGAAUUCCAAAAAAAGCGAAUCGGUUCGGAUUGGAGGCUGAAACUCGCCUCCAUGAAGGCGGAGUUGCUAGUAAUCCCGAAUCAGCAACCUCGGGGUGAAUACGUUGCCGGGCCUGGUACACACCGAUCGUCACACCAGGAAAGCGGGCAACACUCGAAGCCGGUGACCCAACCCUCACGGGAGGGAGCCGUUGAAGGUGGGGCUCGUGAUUGGGGAGAAGUCGUAACAAGGUAGCCCUUCCGGCUGGAUCACCUCCUUUCU
RNAcentral lists this ribosomal RNA (1528 nucleotides) under uncultured bacterium. RNAcentral describes it as "partial 16S ribosomal RNA". It matches the Rfam family "Bacterial small subunit ribosomal RNA". The record is from RNAcentral.